CCCAAGCUGUCUGCUCUAGGAUGUCGGCCAGGCAUUGAGGCUCAGUCCUAAGGGGCAGCAGCCAGAGCACCUUGUCCCCAGGUUGUGCUGAUGCCCCUGCAGGAUCAGGGGCACUCACUGGCUGCAGUGUUGGGUGGGGAUGCCCAGGGUUGCCCUCACGUGGCGCUUCUGAACCAAUGCUUGCAUAAGAGUUAGGUUCCCUCUUCUGUCCCUCUUAGCCCUGGGAUCCCCACUCAGCCCUGGGAUCCCCCUCAGCCCCGGGAUCCCCUCCUCAGCCCCGGGAUCCCCUCCUCAGCCCUGGGAUCCCCCUCAGCUCUGGGAUUCCCUCCUCAGCCCUGGGAUGCCCACUCAGCCCUGGGAUCCCCCUCAGCCCUAGGAUGUCCCUCAGUUCUAGUAUCUCCUUCACCUCUGGGGGUCUACCUCCAAAGUGUAUCAGGCCAGGUGCUUGGCUCACACCUGUAAUCCCAGCACUUUGGGAAGCAAGGCAGGAGGAUCACUUGAGGUCAGGAGUUCAAGACCAGCCUGGGCAACAUAGGGAGACCCCCAUUUCUACAAAAAAUUUUUUUUAAAACCUGGUGUGGGGGUGCAGGCCUGUGGUCCCAACUACUCGGGAGACUGAGGCAGGAGGAUUGCUUGAGCUAGGGAGAUUGAGGGCUGCAGUGAGCCAUGAUCCAGCCACUGCACUCCAGCCUGGGCGACAGAGCAAGAACCUGUCUCAAAGGAAAAAGAAAGCCCAGCCCCGGCUUAGUCAUCCGAUGCCAUACGUGGGCUCGCAGUGUUGAGGAGGAGUUUGGCUCCCCUGUGCCUCUGCAGCUAGAGGGCAUCUAAAUUAUCAGUCAGAUCACGCCCCCAUCAGAGCCUCCCGGGGUCCCUGCACCUCCAGAGAAAUCCCACCCACUCACCCCCACAGCCCACAGGGCUCACGGGCCCCAGCCUGCCAACCUACCCACUGCCAGGCCAGCCCCUCAGCACCACUCUGACCAUACAAAGGCCUUCUGGAUGCCCAGGCCCCUGUCACCUACUGCAGGACAGGGUGGCACAGGCAGGGCUGGCUGAGGGCGUGGAAAUCUUGCCCCCGGCCCUUCUCACCAGAGGCUGUUCUUGCUGGUCAGUCACCAGGCUCAGCCUGGAGGCCACAGUCCCGACGGGGGUGUAGAGAAAUUCCCAUGCACUGCAGUGUGUCUUGGGGACCUUUCUCCUGUGAAGAUGCAGAAUGGUGCUGACUGGCUCUUUCCCCCCCAGCUCUACAGUCUGCUGGAGAGGAUCAACCCGGACCACAGCUUCCCUGUCAGCUCGCACUGCCUCCGAGCAGCCGCCUUCUAUGUGCGUGGGCUCUUCUCCUUCUUCCAGGGACGCUACAACGAGGCCAAGCGAUUUCUGCGGGAAACUCUGAAGAUGUCCAAUGCUGAGGACCUGAACCGGCUCACAGCCUGCUCCCUCGUGCUCCUGGGCCACAUCUUCUAUGUGCUGGGAAACCACAGGGAGAGUAACAACAUGGUGGUGCCUGCCAUGCAGCUCGCCAGCAAGAUCCCGGACAUGUCGGUACAGCUGUGGUCGUCAGCACUGCUGAGAGACCUGAAUAAAGCCUGUGGGAACGCCAUGGAUGCCCAUGAAGCCGCCCAGAUGCACCAGAACUUCUCGCAGCAGCUGCUCCAGGACCACAUUGAGGCCUGCAGCCUCCCCGAACACAACCUCAUCACGUGGACAGACGGUCCACCCCCCGUGCAGUUCCAAGCUCAGAAUGGACCCAACACCAGCCUGGCCAGCCUCCUGUGAGGCCUUGAUGGGGCCAUCCAGCUCCGCAGAGCCUGCGCGUCUCCGGCUUCCACCCAGACGGCACUCAAGCCUGCCCCCGAGGCGUGCUUCCUUCCUGAUUGUCUCUAGAGCUUCCAAGUCCUGGGAAUGUGCGGGGCCAGUCCCUGCCCUCCCAGGAGGGGUGGUAGCCGUUCCCACCUCGCACCAGGACCCCCAGUGCAGAGGCUCACAGGUGGCACACAGGCGCUGUCUCUCCAGAGCCAUCCUUCAGAGUGGACCUCAGUGCCAGUCCUGCCUCAGCAUCUGGGUCACGUCGGCCAAGAGUAGGGUGCAGGCCUCCAGCAGGUCCUAAUCCUGUGUGCCAGGGCAGGCAGUGCCCCAGGGGCACCACGCCUGACUCUCCAUCACCCAGGCCUUGAUGCCGAGCGGGAGUAGAGUGUUUCCUCUGCUCAAGGCAAUUUCCAGAGCCCGGAUGCCAGUUUCUGGCCUGAAUUUGGAGGGAAGAAGUAAUGGCCCUAGUGUGGGACGAAGCACAGAUCCCAGCACUUUUCCCAGCUUUCUCUCCAGCAUCGGUCCCUGCAGCAGCUGGGGCCUCUGGUCAGGAACCCUCAGGGACCCAGGAACUCAGCUUCCAAACAUCUGCACCUUGACCGGACUCGCCAUCCCACUGUGGGGGUGCAGGUGAUUGUAAACACGGGUCUGCAUGUGGAUGCACACGGGUGUGCGGUGAAGAUCUGUGGAGAUGGAGCUGGGAGCUGAGGCUCCUGUUGCACCAGCCACCUUCCCCCAUCUUGUGGCUGCUGAGGGGCAGGAAGCGGGGGAGUGGGCUUGUCUCCUAAAUUUAAGAUCACCUCCUCAGCUAGCUUAGAGUGCAUGGCACGGGCCCCCCGCCCCCGAGAUCUGGAGCCCAGGGACUUUCUUCCUGGCAGAUCUGUGGCCUUCCCUGCUCAGCCUCUUGGUCCCCCCACUCCCUCCACCGCCUCACUUUCCCUGCUGGGUCUCUGGGGCACAGUGUGAAACCCGCACCCUAGCCAGGCCCCAGGGAGCCUCCGCUGGGCCCAGACAGCAGCGUUUGGUUUUAUCCACUUUUCUUGGAUAAUCAGGAGGUGCCCCAGUGGUCACAGUGUGGCAUUCCGAGUUGGCGCGGGUGGUCGGGUCAAGAUAGCAGCAGCAGGUGUCAGGGCUCAAGACACCACCCCCUCCAGCUUCUGGGGCCCAGGAGCCUCUCCCUGCUACAGGGGGUGGGGCUCCUGCUCAGCAGGGUAGGUGGUGGUUUUAGGUCUUGUCACCCUCGCUCAGUGGAACUGCCUCUGGGAGCUUUGGCGUCUGUGACUAAAGGGACGCUGGAUUGCUCAGGUCAGCUGCUCAGGGCUCCCAGGCUGGGUGUGCCUUAGCCACAGGCAGGGCUGUCAAUAACCCCCUUCCUCACUGGCCACCACCUGACAUCAGCACCAGUGACAGGCUGGUCAGAGGGCGGGGCUGGUGAGGGUUUGUCCUAAGAGGACCACUGCCAUCUCUGGGUCUCCAGGGGGAGAGCCUGGCCCUGUCCUUUGCUACCCAGGGCUGCCCCCAGGCCCAUGAAGCCAGUAGGAGAGCGUGUGGCACUGGCCCACAAAGUGUCCCUGUCCUGUCUUCCUCCCGAGCCAUGGCCUCUGCUAGCUCCACCUUGAAGGAGCCCCCCACAUCCUCCCCUACAUCCCAGAGAUGCCACCACUUGUGUCUCCACAAUGUGCUCCUGCCCAUCCGGGUUCCGCACUGUCCGACCCCUGCACACCACUCAUGUCACCAUGGCGUGCAUCAUGUUCAUCCCCAUCUAUUUAUUUAAGCCUUUCUUUGCUUGUAGGGCAUUUUGUAUGUAGAGCAGUUGAAAACAGAACCUCAGAACUUAACAUCUGUCCUGAUGUUAAAGUGCUUUUCAUGACCACCCUGUUAUCUAUGUAUAUGUAAAGUUAAGGAUGAGAUCUUAAGUUUACAAUUAAAAACUCAGUACUCAAUAUUU
Molecule: small RNA, 3754 nt
Filed under: Pan troglodytes (chimpanzee)
Lineage: Eukaryota; Metazoa; Chordata; Mammalia; Primates; Hominidae
Description: retained intron
Source: RNAcentral